GAUCAACGCUGGCGGCGUGCAUAACACAUGCAAGUCGAACGAUGAAGAUUAAAAGAUUUCUUCGGAAUGAACUUAAUUGGAUUAGUGGCGGACGGGUGAGUAACGCGUGAGUAACCUGCCUUGUACAAGGGGAUAGCCGUUGGAAACGACGAAUAAUACCCUAUGACAUCAAAUAAUCGCAUGAUAAUUUGAUCAAAGAUUUAUCGGUAUAAGAUGGACUCGCGUCUGAUUAGCUAGUUGGUAGAGUAAAAGCCUACCAAGGCAACGAUCAGUAGCCGGCUUGAGAGAGUGUACGGCCACAUUGGGACUGAGACACGGCCCAGACUCCUACGGGAGGCAGCAGUGGGGAAUUUUGCACAAUGGGGGAAACCCUGAUGCAGCGACGCCGCGUGAUUUAGAAGGCCUUCGGGUUGUAAAAAUCUUUUGUAUGGGAAGAAAAUGACAGUACCAUACGAAUAAGAACCGGCUAAUUACGUG
Molecule: ribosomal RNA, 477 nt
Filed under: uncultured bacterium
Lineage: Bacteria
Description: partial 16S ribosomal RNA
Rfam family: Bacterial small subunit ribosomal RNA
Source: RNAcentral